RNAcentral lists this ribosomal RNA (2464 nucleotides) under Salmonella enterica subsp. enterica serovar Typhimurium. Its description in RNAcentral is "partial 23S ribosomal RNA". It matches the Rfam family "Bacterial large subunit ribosomal RNA", at positions 570 to 2925 of the family's 2925-position model. Lineage: Bacteria; Pseudomonadati; Pseudomonadota; Gammaproteobacteria; Enterobacterales; Enterobacteriaceae. The record is from RNAcentral.
GCAGUGGGAGCACCCUUCGGGGUGUGACUGCGUACCUUUUGUAUAAUGGGUCAGCGACUUAUAUUCUGUAGCAAGGUUAACCGUAUAGGGGAGCCGGAGGGAAACCGAGUCUUAAUUGGGCGUUAAGUUGCAGGGUAUAGACCCGAAACCCGGUGAUCUAGCCAUGGGCAGGUUGAAGGUUGGGUAACACUAACUGGAGGACCGAACCGACUAAUGUUGAAAAAUUAGCGGAUGACCUGUGGCUGGGGGUGAAAGGCCAAUCAAACCGGGAGAUAGCUGGUUCUCCCCGAAAGCUAUUUAGGUAGCGCCUCGUGAAUUCAUCUCCGGGGGUAGAGCACUGUUUCGGCUAGGGGGCCAUCCCGGCUUACCAACCCGAUGCAAACUGCGAAUACCGGAGAAUGUUAUCACGGGAGACACACGGCGGGUGCUAACGUCCGUCGUGAAGAGGGAAACAACCCAGACCGCCAGCUAAGGUCCCAAAGUCAUGGUUAAGUGGGAAACGAUGUGGGAAGGCCCAGACAGCCAGGAUGUUGGCUUAGAAGCAGCCAUCAUUUAAAGAAAGCGUAAUAGCUCACUGGUCGAGUCGGCCUGCGCGGAAGAUGUAACGGGGCUAAACCAUGCACCGAAGCUGCGGCAGCGAACGUAUCACCCAAGACAACUUUACGGAGUUGACGAUUGACGGAGCGAAGCGACGUCAAAGCGUUCAUUAAAGUCGAGUUGGCUUAGGGAUACGUUCGUUGGGUAGGGGAGCGUUCUGUAAGCCUGUGAAGGUGUGUCGUGAGGCAUGCUGGAGGUAUCAGAAGUGCGAAUGCUGACAUAAGUAACGAUAAAGCGGGUGAAAAGCCCGCUCGCCGGAAGACCAAGGGUUCCUGUCCAACGUUAAUCGGGGCAGGGUGAGUCGACCCCUAAGGCGAGGCCGAAAGGCGUAGUCGAUGGGAAACGGGUUAAUAUUCCCGUACUUGGUGUUACUGCGAAGGGGGGACGGAGAAGGCUAUGUUGGCCGGGCGACGGUUGUCCCGGUUUAAGCGUGUAGGUGUGUGUUCCAGGUAAAUCCGGUUCACUUUAACACUGAGGCGUGACGACGAGGCACUACGGUGCUGAAGCAACAAAUGCCCUGCUUCCAGGAAAAGCCUCUAAGCAUCAGGUAACAUCAAAUCGUACCCCAAACCGACACAGGUGGUCAGGUAGAGAAUACCAAGGCGCUUGAGAGAACUCGGGUGAAGGAACUAGGCAAAAUGGUGCCGUAACUUCGGGAGAAGGCACGCUGACACGUAGGUGAAGUGAUUUACUCAUGGAGCUGAAGUCAGUCGAAGAUACCAGCUGGCUGCAACUGUUUAUUAAAAACACAGCACUGUGCAAACACGAAAGUGGACGUAUACGGUGUGACGCCUGCCCGGUGCCGGAAGGUUAAUUGAUGGGGUCAGCGCAAGCGAAGCUCCUGAUCGAAGCCCCGGUAAACGGCGGCCGUAACUAUAACGGUCCUAAGGUAGCGAAAUUCCUUGUCGGGUAAGUUCCGACCUGCACGAAUGGCGUAAUGAUGGCCAGGCUGUCUCCACCCGAGACUCAGUGAAAUUGAACUCGCUGUGAAGAUGCAGUGUACCCGCGGCAAGACGGAAAGACCCCGUGAACCUUUACUAUAGCUUGACACUGAACAUUGAGCCUUGAUGUGUAGGAUAGGUGGGAGGCUUUGAAGUGUGGACGCCAGUCUGCAUGGAGCCGACCUUGAAAUACCACCCUUUAAUGUUUGAUGUUCUAACGUGGACCCGUAAUCCGGGUUGCGGACAGUGUCUGGUGGGUAGUUUGACUGGGGCGGUCUCCUCCUAAAGAGUAACGGAGGAGCACGAAGGUUGGCUAAUCCUGGUCGGACAUCAGGAGGUUAGUGCAAUGGCAUAAGCCAGCUUGACUGCGAGCGUGACGGCGCGAGCAGGUGCGAAAGCAGGUCAUAGUGAUCCGGUGGUUCUGAAUGGAAGGGCCAUCGCUCAACGGAUAAAAGGUACUCCGGGGAUAACAGGCUGAUACCGCCCAAGAGUUCAUAUCGACGGCGGUGUUUGGCACCUCGAUGUCGGCUCAUCACAUCCUGGGGCUGAAGUAGGUCCCAAGGGUAUGGCUGUUCGCCAUUUAAAGUGGUACGCGAGCUGGGUUUAGAACGUCGUGAGACAGUUCGGUCCCUAUCUGCCGUGGGCGCUGGAGAACUGAGGGGGGCUGCUCCUAGUACGAGAGGACCGGAGUGGACGCAUCACUGGUGUUCGGGUUGUCAUGCCAAUGGCACUGCCCGGUAGCUAAAUGCGGAAGAGAUAAGUGCUGAAAGCAUCUAAGCACGAAACUUGCCCCGAGAUGAGUUCUCCCUGAGACUUAGAGUCUCCUGAAGGAACGUUGAAGACGACGACGUUGAUAGGCCGGGUGUGUAAGCGCAGCGAUGCGUUGAGCUAACCGGUACUAAUGAACCGUGAGGCUUAACCUUACA